UAGAGUGUGAUAGAGGUAAGUGGAAUUUCUAGUGUAGAGGUGAAAUUCGUAGAUAUUAGAAAGAACACCAAAUGCGAAGGCAACUUACUGGGUCACUACUGACACUGAGGAGCGAAAGCAUGGGUAGCGAAGAGGAUUAGAUACCCUCGUAGUCCAUGCCGUAAACGAUGUGUGCUAGACGUUGGAAAUAUAUUUUUCAGUGUCGCAGCGAAAGCAUUAAGCACACCGCCUGGGGAGUACGACCGCAAGGUUAAAACUCAAAUGAAUUGACGGGGACCCGCACAAGCAGUGGAGCAUGUGGUUUAAUUCGAAGAUACGCGCAGAACCUUACCAACACUUGACAUGUUCGUCGCGAGACUAAGAGAUUAGUCUUUUCAGUUCGGCUGGACGAAACACAGGUGCUGCAUGGCUGUCGUCAGUUCGUGUCGUGAGAUGUUGGGUUAAGUCCCGCAACGAGCGCAACCCCUACUUUUAGUUGCCACCAUUUAGUUGGGCACUUUAAAAGAACUGCCAGUGAUAAGCUGGAGGAAGGUGGGGAUGACGUCAAGUCCUCAUGGCCCUUAUGUGUUGGGCUACACACGUGCUACAAUGGUACUUACAAUGGGAUGCAAAGAGGCGACUCUUAGCUAAUCCCUAAAAUGUACCUCAGUUCGGAUUGUACUCUGUAACUCGAGUGCAUGAAGCUGGAAUUGCUAGUAAUCGCGGAUCAGCGCGCCGCGGUGAAUACGUUCCCGGGUCUUGUACACACCGCCCGUCACACCAUGGAGGUUGGUUACACCUUAAGGCAAAGCUUAUACCUUUGACUACGGUACGAUCAGCAACUGGGGUGAAGUCGUAACAAGGUAAC
This 847-nucleotide ribosomal RNA is filed under the name uncultured Alphaproteobacteria bacterium. RNAcentral describes it as "bacterial SSU rRNA". It matches the Rfam family "Bacterial small subunit ribosomal RNA", at positions 642 to 1500 of the family's 1533-position model. Lineage: Bacteria; Pseudomonadati; Pseudomonadota; Alphaproteobacteria. The record is from RNAcentral.